RNAcentral lists this small RNA (125 nucleotides) under Marmota monax (woodchuck). The record is from RNAcentral. Lineage: Eukaryota; Metazoa; Chordata; Mammalia; Rodentia; Sciuridae.
GCCGGGUGUGGUGACACAUGCCUGUAAUCCCAGAGGCUGGGGAGGCUGAGGCAGGAGGAUCAUGAGUUCAAAGCCAGCCUCAGCAAAAGCAAGGCACUAAGCAACUCAGUGAGACCCUGACUCUA